GCGCAAAUGGUUUAGUGGUAAAAUCCAUCGUUGCCAUCAAAAUCUCCUCUGCGAGACUUCGAUAUUCGAUGGGCCCCCGGUUCGAUUCCGGGUUUGCGCA
Molecule: non-coding RNA, 100 nt
Organism: Coniella lustricola
Lineage: Eukaryota; Fungi; Ascomycota; Sordariomycetes; Diaporthales; Schizoparmaceae
Source: the annotation of a GenBank genome assembly